RNAcentral lists this ribosomal RNA (465 nucleotides) under uncultured bacterium. RNAcentral describes it as "partial 16S ribosomal RNA". It matches the Rfam family "Bacterial small subunit ribosomal RNA", at positions 338 to 795 of the family's 1533-position model. The record is from RNAcentral.
CCUACGGGAGGCAGCAGUGGGGAAUAUUGCGCAAUGGGCGAAAGCCUGACGCAGCGACGCCGCGUGAGGGAUGAAGGUCUUCGGAUCGUAAACCUCUGUCAGCAGGGAAGAACGGUCACUGUGCUAAUCAGCAGUGAAUUGACGGUACCUGCAAAGGAAGCACCGGCUAACUCCGUGCCAGCAGCUGCGGUAAUACGGAGGGUGCGAGCGUUAAUCGGAAUUACUGGGCGUAAAGCGCUCGUAGGUGGUAUGUCAAGUCAAGGGUGAAAUCCCCGCGCUCAACGUGGGAACUGCCUUUGAAACUGGCAGGCUGGAGUGUGUGAGAGGAUAGUGGAAUUCGAGGUGUAGCAGUGAAAUGCGUAGAUAUCGGGAAGAACAUCGAUGGCGAAGGCGACUAUCUGGCACAUAACUGACGCUGAGGAGCGAAAGCGUGGGUAGCAAACAGGAUUAGAUACCCUAGUAGUC